RNAcentral lists this ribosomal RNA (3921 nucleotides) under Triticum aestivum (bread wheat). RNAcentral's name for it is "partial small subunit ribosomal RNA". Lineage: Eukaryota; Viridiplantae; Streptophyta; Magnoliopsida; Poales; Poaceae. The record is from RNAcentral.
AUGGAGGCGGCGAUCGGCGUGGCCAACGGGCUCAUCGGCAGCGUGCUCAAUCUGCUGUCCAAUGAGCUCGUGGAGGCGUUUGUUGCCAGCUCCCAGCUCGGCCUCAACUACACGGAGAUGAAACGUGAUCUCUUGUUCACGCAAGGGCUACUGCAAGAGGCCCAGGCGAGGGGCAAGGAUGUGAGCGACAACCUCGGUCUGCGGGAGCUGCUGAAGGAGCUCAGCGCCAAAGCCGAUGAGGCUGAGGACGCGCUGGAUGAGCUCCACUACUUCAUCAUCCAGGACCAGCUCGAUGGCACCCACUAUGCGGUGCCGGACCUGGGUGAUGACCUCCGUGGCCAUGCUCGCCACGGUCGACAUGCCCUUCGCUACACCGUCGGUAACUGCUUUGCAUGCUUUUCUUGUUCGGGCAUGAAGGGUCAUGAUGAUGGUGUUGCUGCUCCUGUCAUUACUGAUAAUUCACCCAAUGCAAUACUGAACCCUGACAGUGAUGGUAAUGAUGGUCCAGUUGUUAAGUUGUCUUUCGACAGAGUUGCCAUGUCCAAAAAAAUCAAGUCAGCGUUAGAGGAAAUAAAAUCCCUGUGUGACCGUGUCUCCAAGUUGCUCCAGCUAAUUCCACCACAUAGCACCACCACCACAGUCACCCAAAGGCACCGUAUCACAGGGUCAACCAUUGUCCAAGAUACAUUGUAUGGGAGGAGAGCUAUUUUUGAGAAAACUGUAGAUGAUAUCCUCACUACUGCCACAGAGCAGUGUGAACCCCUUUCUGUUCUUCCUAUAGUUGGUCCGGGGGGUAUUGGAAAGACAACUUUCACCCAACACCUGUAUAAUGAUAGGAGGAUAGAAGAGCACUUUGCUGUUAGGGUUUGGGUAUGCGUAUCAACUGAUUUUGAUGAGCUUAGACUCAGCCAACAGGUCCUUAGUAGCAUAGAAGGAAGCAACUCUCCAAAUCAGACAACAAGCUUAGAUCAGCUCCAAAUAUCCAUAGCAAAGAAACUCAAGUCUAAAAGAUUUUUAAUUGUCUUUGAUGAUAUAUGGGAAUGCAAUACUGAGGGAUGGAAAAGAUUGUUAGCUCCAUUCAUGAAGGGGGAAGCCAAGGGCAACAUGGUUCUUGUCACAACUAGGUUUCCAACUAAAGCUGAAAUGGUGAAAACAACCAACCCAAUAGCACUCCAAGGUCUAGAGUCUGAUGACUUCUUCACAUUCUUUAAAUCAUUAAUAUUCGGGGUACACAAACAUGAGUAUUGCCAAGAGGAAUUAGAUGAUCUUGCAAGUGAUAUUGCACAUAAACUGAAGGGUUCACCUCUAGCAGCCAGAACAGUUGGUCGUUUACUGAGGAAGGACAUUUCUCGGGAACAUUGGAUUGGAGUUCUUGAAAACAAUGAGUGGCAAAAAGAGGACAAUGUUGAUGACAUUAUGCCAUCAUUAAGGAUUAGCUAUGAUUACCUUCCUUUUCAUCUAAAAAAAUGUUUUUCAUAUUUUUCCUUGUUCCCUGAAGAUUUUCAGUUUAAGAAGUUAGAUAUUACGUAUUUUUGGAUUGCACUAGGAAUCAUAGAAAGAGAUGAGAAUUAUCUAGAGGAACUCGUAGAGAUCGGUUUUCUCAUGAAGGAAGUUGAUGAUUCCGAGCAACCAUACUAUGUAAUGCAUGAUUUAUUACACGAGUUGUCUCGUAGUGUUUCAUCACAAGAGUGCCUCAACAUAUGUAGUUCAAAUUUUAGAGUUGAUGACAUCCCACAAACUGUUCGACACGUAUCUGUCACAAUGGAAGAUAGAUUUGAAGGGGGUGUUAGGGAAGAAAUGAUUAAAUUGAGGAGCAAGAUAGACAUUCGCAAUUUGCGAGCUUUGAUGAUUUUUAGGGAAUAUGAAGAAACAAUUGAUGGAUUUUUGAAAGAUAUUUUUAAGGAAAUAGAGGGUCUCCGUGUCCUGUUGAUAGUAAUGGACUCCAUGGAAAUAGAGGGUCUCCGUGUCCUAUCUUUGCCACUCAACUUUUCAAAGCUUAUCCACCUUCGAUACCUAAGGCUUACUCAUAACCUAAACAAUGUUGUGACAUGGCCAUACUUUUUACGAAAGCCAGUGAUUUUGCCUAACGCACUGUCAGUAUUUUAUCACUUGAAGUUCUUAGACCUCAGAGGCCUGAGUGAUACGGAGAAAAUACCUAAAGACCUUAACCGCCUUGUCAAUUUAUGCCGCUUCUAUGUUGAUAAUGAACUCAAUUCAAAUGUUCCUGGGGUCGGAAAGAUGAAAUGCUUGCAGGAGCUAAAAGAUUUCCAUGUUAAAAAAGAGAGUGUUGGGUUUGAACUGGCAGAGUUGGGGGAACUAACAGAGCUUGAAAGUGAACUCACAAUACAUAAUCUUGAGAAGGUGGUAAGCAAGAAAGAGGCUAUGGAAGCUAAGCUUGUGUGUAAAAGAGAUUUGACAAAGUUGGGGUUAGUUUGGGGUAUAGAUCACAAACAUAGCACAGAGUCUGAUGUUCUUGAUGCUCUUCAGCCACACCGUAAUCUUGGAGCACUUAGCAUUAUAAAUCAUGGUGGUAUGACUGGUCCUAGUUGGUUGUGUGGUGACAUUAGCAUCAAAAGGCUGGGGUCUCUCCACCUAGAGGGUGUCUCUUGGGGCACCCUUCCACCUUUUGGGCAGCUAUUGCAUCUCACAUCACUCACAUUGAUUAGGAUUUCUAUACUUCGUCAGAUCAGACCUGGCCUUGGUGGUGUUACAGAUGAAAGUUUUAUGCAUCUGAAGCGGAUCAUUCUUGAUAGAUUACCUGAAUUUAUCGAUUGGGUUGGGGGAGCUAAUUCCCAUUCUUUUUCAAGGCUUGAAUACAUCAGUUGCAGAGAUUGUCCCAAUCUUUGCGUGGUGCCCUUCCUUGAGUGCUCUAUCUCUUAUACCAGUCUUUCGCAUCUUUCCAUUGAUGAUUGCCCAAAGUUGUCUCUGCCCCCCAUGCCUCACACGUCCACGCUGACAUAUUGUCAUGUGUCACUUCCUCCUUCAAUGCUUGAAUAUUCUAGAAGGGCGAUGCUUAUUGAUGAGUAUAGUGGUGGGUGGGCCUUGCAUAACCUGCGUAAUGUAGAGGAAGUGAAUAUCCGGAAUGUAUCACACUUUUCAUUCACGGAGCUCAGUAAACAUAAAUCCCUAGCAAUGCUGAAUUUGUACAAAUGCAAUAUCAUGUGCCAUGGACUGCAGGAUCUCAUGUGCCUCCAAUCAGUUAGAGUAAAGUUUUGUCCCAACUUCUUUCGGUGGCCCAUCGAAGCAGCUCACACCAUUAAGCCUUUCCCUGCUUCCCUCCAGGAACUUGAGAUCGAAGGAGAGUCAGGCAUGCAGUCAAUGGCUCUCCUCUCCAACCUCACUUGCGUGACCAAUUUAAAACUGGUGGACUGUGAGAAUUUAACAGUGGUUGGGUUUAAUCCUCUCAUCAGAGUCAACCUUGAUAGGUUGGAGGUCUAUAACACAGAUAAGUGUCUUAGCCGCUCUAUAUCAGCGGAUCUGUUCUCGGAAUUGGCGGUAGCAAGGACCAACCUAUCAUUGCGUGCGGGAUCCUUCCGAUUGAGAUGGCUAGAAGUGGAUUGCAUCUCAUCGGUGCUUGUUGCUCCCAUCUGCACCCUCCUCGCUGCUACCCUCCAGAUUUUAAAAAUCAGGCAUGAUCAGCGGGCAGAAAGCUUCACGGGAGAUGAAGAGAGAGCUCUUCAGCUCCUCACCUCCCUUGAGUCCAUCUUUGUUAUGAAUUGCCCGAAUCUGCCGUCCCUUCCUCAGGGGUUAUACAUCCUUCCUUCUCUUCUGCGACUAUGUGUCUGUGAUUGUCCUCAAGUCCGAUCUCUGCCCAAGGACCCCUUCCCCACUUCACUGAAGACAUACGCAAGUGGUUGCAGGCCCGAGGUACAAGAGCAAUUAGAGGGAACAAUUUUCUCCUAUUUCAUGCUUCUUGAGUAA